Long non-coding RNA from Varroa destructor (honeybee mite), 726 nucleotides. RefSeq lists it as uncharacterized. NCBI's taxonomy places the organism in Eukaryota, Metazoa, Arthropoda, Arachnida, Mesostigmata, Varroidae. The record is from RefSeq and is a predicted model, not a curated record.
CUGCGACCCAAAUGGGGACCGUGUAACUAACGUGAGCAUUAAAGCGCAUUGACACAUUGUCAGUGUACGAAAUUUCCCUUUAAAAUGUAGAACUGAUAGACGGUCCGCCGUUCAGAGGAAAUGAUCGCAAUCAAAUAACGAGACGGCAGAGAGUGCACGACUGUUCAGCUGAACGCCUCCUCAAACCAACCACCCCAUUUUGCUUUAACCACCCUAAACACCGAACAAUCAGAACCUGCCGCUGUAAGAAACAGACGUUGCUGAUAUAUCAUGGUAUCUAAAACAAAGGAUGAGUGCAGAUAACCUUUUCGAGUUCCACCGGCUUCAUUCACCCGAUCCCUUGCACAGGGAUUGUAAAAAGUGCUUCUCAAACGUACCAGUUAGGAUGCUUACAUCAAGCUAGUCGUUCAACCCCAGCGAAACCCCAGCAUACGCCCGUUAUGAAUUUAAUUCGACCUACAUAGGGUAUUCUACGAGAAGAGAUUCUACGAUUACCCUAGAACUCGGCAAAACAUCACCUGCGGACUGCAUAAAAAAAUCAAACGUGGACAUGGAUACUAGCUUGCUAAUGCCCCUUGGUCUUCUUCCUUUUCCGAGGCAUGCCUCAAAGUGUUUUUGUCUAUCAAAUAUAAAGUUCUUCGAAAAGACUAGAUUAGGUUUAGAGCAAAAAAUAUCAACAUAAAAUAUCGAGCGUUCCUGCUAUUUCGGUGCAAUACCGCAGUCCAA